Molecule: long non-coding RNA, 757 nt
Organism: Nerophis ophidion (straightnose pipefish)
Lineage: Eukaryota; Metazoa; Chordata; Actinopteri; Syngnathiformes; Syngnathidae
Exons: 3
Source: RefSeq, a predicted model, not a curated record
CACGUCUCAAAAGAUGUUUUUAGACUUGCGUACGAGUGACAGGCUUCGUACAAACAGUUUCCCUCUCCCGCCCGUGCGCCGUAUCGACUUCCCAAACGAAAGGGCGUUGCGUUUACUGCACAUCAAACGGAGCAGAAAAUUAGGUUGCGGCGCCGACGUUCAAACCUUGGCGCUCACUUCGAGGGGCUGAAAUUCAGAGCGAUCGCUAUCUGCGCUGCAGGAGACGCCGCCGCUGCUCGGUAUCAGCGCUCCCCAUCGAACAAACAUCCUCUGGAGAUUAGGAGGCGCUCGACGUCGCCGCCGGCGGAGUGUAAUGAAAGCCAUGAACGCAGCACGAGAAAACUGCGUGCGCAAUCCCUCGUGCCUUCUGCAGCAAGCACGACCGGUAGCUCCUCUAGGAGCGCAUCGCGGCCACGUGCCUGCACGGCUGCAGGCAAUCGUCAAUCAGCGCACGUGGUAUGAUGAGGACAGACGGCAUAAAGACCAGUGGACUCGAAGAUCCAGUGCCAAAACAUAGUUCACUCUACGUAUAUUCCCUCCGUCUCCAUUGAUCGAGAUGUGCGCCUCGCUUCUCUGGACUUCUCGCCGGAAAUUGGACUGCUUCUCAUGAUCCUCGACCCCCGCUCAGACACGGACCUCGACGCUUCUCUCUAGCCCCCGACCUCUCGCUUGCCUACGGACUGUCUUCUUGCCUUUCCCCUCUGGACUUAUGAACGAUUCAUCCAACACGCACGAAAUACACCCUCUGGUGACAUCC